Molecule: ribosomal RNA, 1473 nt
Filed under: Candidatus Curtissbacteria bacterium
Lineage: Bacteria; Candidatus Curtissiibacteriota
Description: bacterial SSU rRNA
Rfam family: Bacterial small subunit ribosomal RNA
Source: RNAcentral
AUCAAUGAGAGUUUGAUCCUGGCUCAGGAUGAAUGCUGGCGACGUGCCUUAAGCAUGCAAGUCGAGCGAGAUGGUAGCAAUAUCAUCUAGCGGCGGACGGCUGAGUAACGCGUAGGAAUCUGCCUUAAAGUGCGGGAUACCUCCUCGAAAGAGGAGCUAAUACCGCAUGUGAACGAAAGUUUAAAGGAGCUAACCCUCCGCUUUAAGAUGAGCCUGCGUCCUAUCAGUUUGUUGGUGGGGUAAAAGCCUACCAAGACUAUGACGGGUAGGGGGUGUGAGAGCAUGGCCCCCCAGAAUGGAACUGAGACACGGUCCAUACACCUACGGGUGGCAGCAACUGGGAAUCUUCGACAAUGGGCGAAAGCCUGAUCGAGCGACGUCGCGUGGGGGAUGAAGGCCUUCGGGUUGUAAACUCCUUUUGCUAGAGAACAAUCUAAUUGAGUUAACCUAGCGAAUAAGCACCUGCAAACUACGUGCCAGCAGCAGCGGUGAUACGUAGGGUGCAAGCAUUAUCCGGAUUUAUUGGGCGUAAAGGGUUGCGUAGGUGGUUUAGUAAGUCUUUUCUUAAAGACCCUGGCUUAACUAGGGUACUGGAGCAGAUACUGCUAGACUUUGAAGAAGUGAGAGGUCAGCGGAACUUAUGGUGGAGCAGUGAAAUGCGUUGAGAUCAUAAUGAACACCGAUGGCGUAGGCAGCUGACUGGCACUUUCUUGACACUGAGGCACGAAAGCUAGGGGAGCGAAAGGGAUUAGAGACCCCUGUAGUCCUAGCCGUAAACGAUGGACACUAGAUGACGGGCCUUAUAAGUUCGUUGUCGCAAGCUAACGCGUUAAGUGUCCCGCCUGGGGAGUACGAACGCAAGUUUAAAACUCAAAGGAAUUGACGGGGGACCGCACAAGCGGUGGAGCAUGUGGUUUAAUUCGAUACAAAGCGAAAAACCUUACCUGGGUUUGAAAUGUACCUGCAAAUCCUACGAAAGUAGGACUUCUUCGAGAGUGGUACACAGAUGCUGCAUGGUUGUCGUCAGCUUGUACCGUGAGGCGCACCCUUAAGUGGGUCAACAAGCGCAACCCGCAUCGUGUGUUAAAUAUUCACACGAAACUGCCUCAUUUACUGGGGAGGAAGGAGCGGAUGAUGUCAAAUCAGCACGGCUCUUACAUCCAGGGCUACACACAUCCUACAAUGGCGAAUAACAACGAGCUGCAACCGGGUAACCGGAAGCCAAUCUCUGAAAUUUCGCCUCAGUUCAGAUUGAGGGCUGCAAUUUGCCCUCAUGAAGUCGAAAUCGCUAGUAAUCGCGGAUCAGCAGGCCGCGGUGAAUACGUUCUCGGUCCUUGUACACACUGCCCGUCAAGCCAACAAAGUUGGGGGCGCCCGAAGUCCAUCGUAUGAUGGCCGAAGGUGAAUCCAGCGAUGGGGACUAAGUCGUAACAAGGUAUCCGUAGAUGAAUCUGCGGAUGGAUCACCUCCUUU